Molecule: long non-coding RNA, 230 nt
Filed under: Mytilus galloprovincialis (Mediterranean mussel)
Lineage: Eukaryota; Metazoa; Mollusca; Bivalvia; Mytilida; Mytilidae
Source: RNAcentral
UGUUAAACUAUUUUUAAUGCAUAUAGUAAAUAGUAUACAAAUAUAUUUAUAUAAUAAUAAGCUGACUAGCAAUUUUGACCACAACAAGUACAAAUUCCUAUGGUCAUAGACCGAAUUUAGAGCAAGUAUGUCAUUAUUUGUUACAUAUACAAUCUCAGACAUAAUGGCUGUAGUAUAAAAAUUGAGGCUGUACAAUUUCAAAUAUUUGACUUUGCAAUAUGAAUGAUGUC